AAAGUGGAUUUACUAAAAUCCAUUUAGGCUUUAAUAAUAAUUGUUU
Erinaceus europaeus (western European hedgehog) is the source of this 46-nucleotide non-coding RNA. Lineage: Eukaryota; Metazoa; Chordata; Mammalia; Eulipotyphla; Erinaceidae. The record is from Rfam.